UCGACACUUGAAAGAGUAUCCCCGGAGAACGUGCGAUUGCGAUUGGUCGAUUCGCUCUUUCUGCUCUUUGCUGAAUUUCCCACCGCGAUAUAUUAUCGCAGAAAUUUUAUCUUUGUUUCGAUCAUCGGUUAAUAAUAUCAAUAUCGCUUGGAAAAUAAAUGGUAAUUAGAUGACAUAACAAUAAAAUCAAGUACCUGGAAGAAAAUUUAUAAAACAUGUUGAUGAUAAAAGUCGAGACACAUCACGAUCACGCAUCGAAUAAUAUCUUUUUUCGAACAAUAAUAAUCUCUUAUUCGGAAAACAAAGUUUUCGGCAGAGUAGCACGGUGAUCAUGCGGUGGUGAUAAUCACAAAUAGUUUAAAUUAACAUAUCUACAAUAUGUAUCAGAAUUUAGAUAAACGAUUCGAACGAGUGACAAUUUCAAGUUCGAACGUAAUACGUAAAAAGAGCGUUCGUUUCAAAGAAAUCAAAAAUAGAUUUGACUCUUAUCACUGAAUGUUCGAUAAAUGACGAAGAAUUAUAUAGUUUCACGUAAAUACGUACGAAGAUUACUUUGUCGGAUUCGUAUUGUACGGUAAUAUAAUCUUAUCGGAAGCUUCGAUAACGAAUAAGAGAGAACAAUCAGAACAAUUAUAUGCAUGAAGCUUGUAUCGUACGAAUUGUUCAAGCGCUGAAACGUGUCAAGAGAUUAGCAUGAAUUUUUUCUAUACAAUUUCAAAAACUUAUUGAAUAAUCUAUUCCAGGCAUCAAUAACAGCUAUCAUGCGUGUCACGAUCAUGGGUGUUUGGUCAUCUUUAUCUCAGAAAAAUGCUGUCGUAUCUUUUAUAACGAUGCGCGGGCGUGAACUAGUUUGUUGCUCGUGAAGUCACUGUCCGUGGUCUUUCUCUACGUAUCCACGUGGAACAAAGAUAAAUCCACAAUCUCGAGGUGAAUCUCGGGGAUCGAAGUGUCAGCGGCGCUAUCCAAGUAGCCAUCGAUGAAUAGAGCGAAAGGUCACGCGAUGAGUAAGAAAAGAAGUUCUGAUUCCAAUAUGAACUCUGCUCAUUUCUGCGUCAAAAAAGAGACACUAUAAAGAAGACUAAAAAUUUUAAAGCUCGGACAAUUAUUAUCAGAAGUAAUUUCGACCCAUAGCUACUGUGCACUAUCCAUCACGGACGCAACACUCUAUCGCUUAUCAAAAGCGUAGCCGUUAUCUUAUCCCGAAGACUUGAAAGCCAGCAAUAAGUGUCGGUACCAGCACGCCGUUGCCCCAUCGUCGAUCUCCGAGAUCGACGAUGUAGUCGCGACCGAUGACGAUGAUGGCAACGAUAAAAACGGCGGAGAAAAACAGCAGCCUUACUUGGUGGAGACUGGUC
This is a long non-coding RNA of Ooceraea biroi (clonal raider ant), 1355 nucleotides long. RefSeq lists it as uncharacterized. NCBI's taxonomy places the organism in Eukaryota, Metazoa, Arthropoda, Insecta, Hymenoptera, Formicidae. The record is from RefSeq and is a predicted model, not a curated record.